Unclassified non-coding RNA from Microcebus murinus (gray mouse lemur), 164 nucleotides. Lineage: Eukaryota; Metazoa; Chordata; Mammalia; Primates; Cheirogaleidae. The record is from Ensembl.
CCCCAGGCACACGAGGCCUCUACUGCGGCUGCGCGGCCCGCUGGAGCACGUGCGGCUUCUACUGCGGCUGCGCGACCUCGGCGCGCGCGCAUGCUCGUCGGCGUCCUAGGGCUCCUCCCUCCAGCCUAAGUCCCUCGGGGCGACUGUGCUGCCUACGCUUUCCG